Molecule: ribosomal RNA, 406 nt
Filed under: uncultured bacterium
Lineage: Bacteria
Description: partial 16S ribosomal RNA
Rfam family: Bacterial small subunit ribosomal RNA
Source: RNAcentral
AUUGAACGCUGGCGGCAGGCCUAACACAUGCAAGUCGAACGAGUGGCGGACGGGUGAGUAAUGUCUGGGAAACUGCCUGAUGGAGGGGGAUAACUACUGGAAACGGUAGCUAAUACCGCAUCCCAUAAGAUGUGCCCAGAUGGGAUUAGCUUGUUGGUGGGUUAACGGCUCACCAAGGCGCCGAUCCCUAGCUGGUCUGAGAGGAUGACCAGCCACACUGAAACUUAGACACGGUCCAGACUCCCACGGGAGGCAGCAUUGGGGAAUAUUGCACAAUGGGCGCAAGCCUGAUGUAGCCAUGCCGAGUGUAUGAAGAAGGCCUUCGGGUUGUAAAGUAAUUUAAGCGGGGCGGCGUUACCCGCAGAAGAAGCACCGGCUAACUCCGUGCCAGCAGCCGCGGUAAUUC